RNAcentral lists this ribosomal RNA (415 nucleotides) under uncultured bacterium. Its description in RNAcentral is "partial 16S ribosomal RNA". It matches the Rfam family "Bacterial small subunit ribosomal RNA", at positions 355 to 762 of the family's 1533-position model. The record is from RNAcentral.
UGGGGAAUUUUGGACAAUGGGCGCAAGCCUGAUCCAGCCAUGCCGCGUGCGGGAAGAAGGCCUUCGGGUUGUAAACCGCUUUUGUCAGGGAAGAAAUCUUCUGAGUUAAUACCUCGGGAGGAUGACGGUACCUGAAGAAUAAGCACCGGCUAACUACGUGCCAGCAGCCGCGGUAAUACGUAGGGUGCAAGCGUUAAUCGGAAUUACUGGGCGUAAAGCGUGCGCAGGCGGUUUUGUAAGACAGAGGUGAAAUCCCCGGCGUCAACCUGGGAACUGCCUUUGUGACUGCAAGGCUUGAGUGCGGCAGAGGGGGAUGGAAUUCCGCGUGUAGCAGUGAAAUGCGUAGAUAUGCGGAGGAACACCGAUGGCGAAGGCAAUCCCCUGGGCCUGCACUGACGCUCAUGCACGAAAGCGU